GCACCCGUAGUUCAACUGGAUAGAACGCCUGGCUUCGGACCAGGAGGUUGUGGGUUCGAGUCCUACCGGGUGUA
This 74-nucleotide transfer RNA is filed under the name Candidatus Magasanikiibacteriota bacterium. RNAcentral's name for it is "tRNA-Arg". It matches the Rfam family "tRNA". From Rfam's summary of the family: Transfer RNA (tRNA) molecules are approximately 80 nucleotides in length. Their secondary structure includes four short double-helical elements and three loops (D, anti-codon, and T loops). Further hydrogen bonds mediate the characteristic L-shaped molecular structure. tRNAs have two regions of fundamental functional importance: the anti-codon, which is responsible for specific mRNA codon recognition, and the 3' end, to which the tRNAs corresponding amino acid is attached (by aminoacyl-tRNA synthetases). tRNAs cope with the degeneracy of the genetic code in two manners: having more than one tRNA (with a specific anti-codon) for a particular amino acid; and 'wobble' base-pairing, i.e. permitting non-standard base-pairing at the 3rd anti-codon position. The record is from RNAcentral. Lineage: Bacteria; Candidatus Magasanikiibacteriota.